ACGUUCAACCUCAAAAGAAGCAGAGGGGGCUUAGUGGUGGGGUGACUGCGUACCUUUUGUAUAAUGGGUCAGCGACUUAUAUUCUGUAGCAAGGUUAACCGUAUAGGGGAGCCGGAGGGAAACCGAGUCUUAAUUGGGCGUUAAGUUGCAGGGUAUAGACCCGAAACCCGGUGAUCUAGCCAUGGGCAGGUUGAAGGUUGGGUAACACUAACUGGAGGACCGAACCGACUAAUGUUGAAAAAUUAGCGGAUGACCUGUGGCUGGGGGUGAAAGGCCAAUCAAACCGGGAGAUAGCUGGUUCUCCCCGAAAGCUAUUUAGGUAGCGCCUCGUGAAUUCAUCUCCGGGGGUAGAGCACUGUUUCGGCUAGGGGGCCAUCCCGGCUUACCAACCCGAUGCAAACUGCGAAUACCGGAGAAUGUUAUCACGGGAGACACACGGCGGGUGCUAACGUCCGUCGUGAAGAGGGAAACAACCCAGACCGCCAGCUAAGGUCCCAAAGUCAUGGUUAAGUGGGAAACGAUGUGGGAAGGCCCAGACAGCCAGGAUGUUGGCUUAGAAGCAGCCAUCAUUUAAAGAAAGCGUAAUAGCUCACUGGUCGAGUCGGCCUGCGCGGAAGAUGUAACGGGGCUAAACCAU
This 637-nucleotide ribosomal RNA is filed under the name Salmonella enterica. RNAcentral's name for it is "partial 23S ribosomal RNA". It matches the Rfam family "Bacterial large subunit ribosomal RNA", at positions 568 to 1190 of the family's 2925-position model. Lineage: Bacteria; Pseudomonadati; Pseudomonadota; Gammaproteobacteria; Enterobacterales; Enterobacteriaceae. The record is from RNAcentral.